GCAAGUCGAGCGGUAACAGGGGGAGCUUGCUCCCUGCCGGCGAGUGGCGGACGGGUGAGUAAUGUGUAGGAAUCUACCUAUAGGUUUGGGAUAACUUGGGGAAACUCAAGCUAAUACCAGAUAGUCCUUACGAGGUAAAGCAGGGGAUCUUCGGACCUUGCGCCUGUGGAUGAGCCUACAUCAGAUUAGCUAGUUGGUGGGGUAAAAGCCUACCAAGGCGACGAUCUGUAGCUGGUCUGAGAGGAUGAUC
Molecule: ribosomal RNA, 250 nt
Filed under: uncultured bacterium
Lineage: Bacteria
Description: partial 16S ribosomal RNA
Rfam family: Bacterial small subunit ribosomal RNA
Source: RNAcentral